AUGCAUUGGGUAUCCUGGAAGGAGUUAUCUAAACCCAAGUGCGAGGGGGGGAUGGGGUUUCGCGACCCGCAUCUGUUUAACCUAGCUAUGUUGGGCAAGCAUGGGUGGCGUUUUAUCACCAACCCAAAUUCGCUUUGUGCGAGAGUACUCAAGGGCCAUUACUUUCCGGAUACUGAUUUCAUGCACGCUUCAGUUCCCAAGUCAGCCUCGGCAACUUGGAAGGCGAUUGUGGCCGGAAAGGACGCCCUGAGGACAGGGUUAAUCUCCAGAGUGGGAGAUGGUUCUACUAUAUUGGUUUGGGAGGACAAAUGGAUCCCAGGUACGAUCACAAUGACUCCAGCUCUGAGACCAACAAAUACAAACAUUGAGAGGGUGUCGGACCUCAUUGACACACGGACUUGGUCUUGGAAGAUCGAUUUGAUCAGGGAUACUUUCACGGCUCAAGAUGCCGCGGCUAUCCUUAAUAUCCCUGUCAGGCAAGGCGGUGGUGAUGAUUUUCUUGCAUGGGCAUUUGACAUAUCAGGUAACUACACUGUCAAGACGGCGUACCGUGCUCUCGUGACUCAGAACGAGCGUUUGGCUCUAUAG
RNAcentral lists this ribosomal RNA (588 nucleotides) under Triticum aestivum (bread wheat). RNAcentral's name for it is "partial small subunit ribosomal RNA". Lineage: Eukaryota; Viridiplantae; Streptophyta; Magnoliopsida; Poales; Poaceae. The record is from RNAcentral.